Molecule: ribosomal RNA, 468 nt
Filed under: uncultured bacterium
Lineage: Bacteria
Description: partial 16S ribosomal RNA
Rfam family: Bacterial small subunit ribosomal RNA
Source: RNAcentral
GACGAACGCUGGCGGCGUGCUUAACACAUGCAAGUCGAACGGAAAGGCCCUGCUAUUGUGGUUUGCUCGAGUGGCGAACGGGUAAGUAACAAGUAAGUAACCUUCCCUGGACUAUAGCAUAACGUCACGGAAGUUGGGAUAAUACCGGAUAGGAGCUACUACUGCAUGGUGGGGGGUGGAAAGUUUCGGCGGUUGGGGAUGAGCUCGCGGCGUAUUAGCUUGUUGGUGGGGUGGUGGCUUACCAAGGCGUUGAUGGGUAGAAGGCCUGAGAGGGUGACCGGCAACAUUGGGACUGAGAUACGGCCCAGACUCCUACGGGAGGCAGCAGUGGGGAAUAUUGCACAAUGGGCGGAAGCCUGAUGCAGCAACGCCGCGUGCGGGAUGAAGGCCUUCGGGUUGUAAACCGCUUCCGCCUGUGACGAAGCGUGAGUGACGGUAAUGGGUAAAGAAGCGCCGGCUAACUACGUG